AGUCUGGUGCCAGCAGCCGCGGUAAUUCCAGCUCCAAUAGCGUAUAUUAAAGUUGUUGCAGUUAAAAAGCUCGUAGUUGAACCUUGGGCCUGGUUGGCCGGUCCGCCUCACCGCGUGCACUGGUCCGACCGGGUCUUUCCUUCUGGGGAGCCGCAUGCCCUUCACUGGGUGUGUCGGGGAACCAGGACUUUUACUUUGAAAAAAUUAGAGUGUUCAAAGCAGGCCUAUGCUCGAAUACAUUAGCAUGGAAUAAUAGAAUAGGACGUGUGGUUCUAUUUUGUUGGUUUCUAGGACCGCCGUAAUGAUUAAUAGGGAUAGUCGGGGGCAUCAGUAUUCAAUUGUCAGAGGUGAAAUUCUUGGAUUUAUUGAAGACUAACUACUGCGAAAGCAUUUGCCAAGGAUGUUUUCAUUAAUCAGUGAACGAAAGUUAGGGGAUCGAAGACGAUCAGAUACCGUCGUAGUCUUAACCAUAAACUAUGCCGACUAGGGAUCGGGCGAUGUUAUCUUUUUGACUCGCUCGGCACCUCACGAGAAAUCAAAGUCUUUGGGUUCUGGGGGGAGUAUGGU
RNAcentral lists this ribosomal RNA (567 nucleotides) under Botryotinia convoluta. RNAcentral describes it as "SSU rRNA". It matches the Rfam family "Eukaryotic small subunit ribosomal RNA", at positions 558 to 1129 of the family's 1831-position model. The record is from RNAcentral. Lineage: Eukaryota; Fungi; Ascomycota; Leotiomycetes; Helotiales; Sclerotiniaceae.